Molecule: long non-coding RNA, 785 nt
Filed under: Trifolium pratense (red clover)
Lineage: Eukaryota; Viridiplantae; Streptophyta; Magnoliopsida; Fabales; Fabaceae
Description: long non-coding RNA (TPRA_LNC011736)
Source: RNAcentral
GACGAAGCGGCGACAACGCGGCAGACCAGCCUUACAACGGAGCGACAGCAAAACAGAACGACGUCACAAGGAGCGACAAUACCUACCACCCUCUUCCUCCAUCCACCAAUUUAUUUCACAAAUUGAAACACCUACCAUAUGCAUAAUACUAGGGGUGUUCGCGGUUCGAUUUGGAUCGGUUUUGAGGCAAAAACUCAUCCGAUCCAAAAAUAAAUUUAUUUGCGGUUUGGUUCGGUUUUGGAUGACAAAUAAAAAAAAUCCGAUCCAAUAUUAUGCGGUUUAAUUUGGAUCGGUUUUUGGNNNNNNNNNNNNNNNNNNNNNNNNNNNNNNNNNNNNNAACAUAUAAUAUAUUGAAAAUUAAUAUUUUGGAAUGACAAUUACCAAUUAUAUUCGAAACAUAUAAAAAGUAAAAAAAAAUAGAUUAAAUUAAACUAACAUAUAGUAUUAACAAAAUUUAAAAUGAAAAAAUAGUUAAUGCAAUAUAUAUAUUUAUACUAAUAAAAAGAUAAAUAAAUAUUAAAAUAUAUGUAUGCGGUUUGGUUCGGUUUGAAUCGGUUUUAAGAAAUCAAUCCAAAAUCCGAUCCGAUCCAGCGGUUUUCACAAAAGAACAUCCAAACACAUCCAAAAAACUUCGGUUUUUUCCGGUUUUCGGUUUUUUUGGAUCGGUUUUCGGUUUUUAUUUGGAUUGGUUUGGAUUUGAGCACCCCUACAUAAUACAAUUGUUCUCUUUCACAAAUUGGCACAGAUUCUGGAAUUUGAGUUAUGGAGUAAUGCUUCCAACCCCU